Molecule: ribosomal RNA, 374 nt
Filed under: uncultured organism
Description: bacterial SSU rRNA
Rfam family: Bacterial small subunit ribosomal RNA
Source: RNAcentral
CGGGGGGAGCAAGCGUUGUUCGGAUUUACUGGGCGUAAAGGGCGCGUAGGCGGCCACCGCAAGUCGACUGUGAAAUCUCCGGGCUUAACCCGGAACGGUCAGCCGAUACUGCGGGGCUAGAGUGCAGAAGGGGCAACUGGAAUUCUCGGUGUAGCGGUGAAAUGCGUAGAUAUCGAGAGGAACACCUGCGGCGAAGGCGGGUUGCUGGGCUGACACUGACGCUGAUGCGCGAAAGCUAGGGGAGCGAACGGGGUUAGAUACCCCGGUAGUCCUAGCCUUAAACGAUGAAUGCUUGGUGUCUGGGGUUCUAUAGUCCCCGGGUGCCGUCGCUAACGCUUUAAGCAUUCCGCCUGGGGAGUACGGUCGCAAGACUG